ACUGAGUUGCCUAAUGUCGUU
Molecule: microRNA, 21 nt
Filed under: Medicago truncatula (barrel medic)
Lineage: Eukaryota; Viridiplantae; Streptophyta; Magnoliopsida; Fabales; Fabaceae
Description: mtr-miR5563-3p
Source: miRBase by way of RNAcentral